CUACGUGCCAGCAGCCGCGGUAAUACGGAGGGUGCGAGCGUUAAUCGGAAUAACUGGGCGUAAAGGGCACGCAGGCGGUGACUUAAGUGAGGUGUGAAAGCCCCGGGCUUAACCUGGGAAUUGCAUUUCAUACUGGGUCGCUAGAGUACUUUAGGGAGGGGUAGAAUUCCACGUGUAGCGGUGAAAUGCGUAGAGAUGUGGAGGAAUACCGAAGGCGAAGGCAGCCCCUUGGGAAUGUACUGACGCUCAUGUGCGAAAGCGUGGGGAGCAAGCAGGAUUAGAUACCCUGGUAGUCCACGCUGUAAACGAUGUCGAUUUGGGGGUUGAGCUUUAAGCUUGGCGCCCGUAGCUAACGUGAUAAAUCGACCGCCUGGGGAGUACGGCCGCAAGGUUAAAACUCAAAUGAAUUGACGGGGGCCCGCACAAGCGGUGGAGCAUGUGGUUUAAUUCGAUGCAACGCGAAGAACCUUACCUACUCUUGACAUCCAGAGAACAUUC
RNAcentral lists this ribosomal RNA (498 nucleotides) under uncultured bacterium. Its description in RNAcentral is "bacterial SSU rRNA". It matches the Rfam family "Bacterial small subunit ribosomal RNA", at positions 501 to 1000 of the family's 1533-position model. The record is from RNAcentral.